Molecule: ribosomal RNA, 462 nt
Filed under: uncultured bacterium
Lineage: Bacteria
Description: partial 16S ribosomal RNA
Rfam family: Bacterial small subunit ribosomal RNA
Source: RNAcentral
GAUCAACGCUGGCGGCGUGCUUAACACAUGCAAGUCGAACGAAGUUUUUCCUUCGGGAGAAACUUAGUGGCGGACGGGUGAGUAACGCGUGGGUAACCUGCCCUGUACAGGGGGACAACAGCUGGAAACGGCUGCUAAUACCGCAUAAGCCCUUAGCACUGCAUGGUGCAUAGGGAAAAGGAGCAAUCCGGUACAGGAUGGACCCGCGUCUGAUUAGCCAGUUGGCAGGGUAACGGCCUACCAAAGCGACGAUCAGUAGCCGAUCUGAGAGGAUGUACGGCCACAUUGGGACUGAGACACGGCCCAGACUCCCACGGGAGGCAGCAGUGGGGAAUAUUGCACAAUGGAGGAAACUCUGAUGCAGCGACGCCGCGUGAGUGAAGAAGUAUUUCGGUAUGUAAAGCUCUAUCAGCAGGGAAGAAAAUGACGGUACCUGACUAAGAAGCACCGGCUAAAUACGUG